GGCCCCUUAGCUCAGUGGUUAGAGCAGGCGACUCAUAAUCGCUUGGUCGUUGGUUCAAACCCAACAGGGGUCACCA
RNAcentral lists this transfer RNA (76 nucleotides) under Klebsiella aerogenes. RNAcentral describes it as "tRNA-Ile". It matches the Rfam family "tRNA". Rfam says of the family: Transfer RNA (tRNA) molecules are approximately 80 nucleotides in length. Their secondary structure includes four short double-helical elements and three loops (D, anti-codon, and T loops). Lineage: Bacteria; Pseudomonadati; Pseudomonadota; Gammaproteobacteria; Enterobacterales; Enterobacteriaceae. RNAcentral also lists the same sequence under 6 other names. The record is from RNAcentral.